ACUGGCAGGCUAGAGUCUUGUAGAGGGGGGUAGAAUUCCAGGUGUAGCGGUGAAAUGCGUAGAGAUCUGGAGGAAUACCGGUGGCGAAGGCGGCCCCCUGGACAAAGACUGACGCUCAGGUGCGAAAGCGUGGGGAGCAAACAGGAUUAGAUACCCUGGUAGUCCACGCCGUAAACGAUGUCGAUUUGGAGGUUGUGCCCUUGAGGCGUGGCUUCCGGAGCUAACGCGUUAAAUCGACCGCCUGGGGAGUACGGCCGCAAGGUUAAAACUCAAAUGAAUUGACGGGGGCCCGCACAAGCGGUGGAGCAUGUGGUUUAAUUCGAUGCAACGCGAAGAACCUUACCUGGUCUUGACAUCCACAGAACUUUCCAGAGAUG
Molecule: ribosomal RNA, 377 nt
Filed under: Klebsiella pneumoniae
Lineage: Bacteria; Pseudomonadati; Pseudomonadota; Gammaproteobacteria; Enterobacterales; Enterobacteriaceae
Also listed under: 1 other name
Description: bacterial SSU rRNA
Rfam family: Bacterial small subunit ribosomal RNA
Source: RNAcentral